GGCGGCCUGCGUGGGUUUAUAUACUCGGCGGGGAGACGCAACGCGCAUUUCCUUCAUGAGAGCCAAUCAAAACGCGCGGUGAGGGCGGUUUUGACCAAUAAGAGAGAGGCGUGGGAGGAUCAUAGAGAUGAGGAGAGGCCGCGUUGGGCGCCGCCAUUUUGUCCUGAGGGAGGGGCAGGAGGGCCGAGUCCUCCAAGGGGGAGCGGGUGGAUUUUGGGGGGAAUUUGGGGGAUUUUGGGGCGAUUUUUGGGGACACUGAGGGCUCGUGGAGCUGUGCAGGUGCGUCCCUGCGUGUCACUGGGGUGUGGCUCCGUGUUGUCCCCUCAAUAUCCCCAAAAAACCCGCCCAAAAUUGCCCCAAAUCCCCUCAAAACUCUCCACACACUCCCAUAAAGGCACCGAAAAUCCCAUCCAAUAUCCAAAAUUUUUUAAAAAUCCCCUCAAAUCCCCCCAAAAAAACCGAAAACCCCAAAUCUCCCGCUCAAAAUCGCCGCAAAACCCAUUAAAUCCCCUCACACCCCCCAGUAUCCCCAAAAUCCCCCCUGGAGAUCCCAAAAUCCCCCAAAAUUCCCCUCAAGGCCCCAAAACUCAAAACCCCCCAAAUCUCCCACCCAAAAUCCCCUCAAACCCCCCAAAAAAAACCCUAAAAACCCCAAACCCCCCAAAUCUCCCACCCAAAAUCCCCUCAAACCCCCCAAAAAACCCCCAAAACCCUCAAAUCUCCCACCCAAACUCCCUCAAAUCCCCUCACACCCCAAAAAUCCCCAAAAUCCCCCAAAAUUCCCCUCAAACCACCCAAAAAAUCCCAACUCCCACCCAAAUUUCCCCACCCAAAAUCCCCUCAAACCCCCCCAAAAAAACCCCUAAAAACCCCAAAACCCCCCAAAUCUUCCACCCAAAAUCGCCUCAAACGCCCCCAAAACCCCCAAAUCUCCCACCCAAACUCCCUAAAAUCCCCUCACACCCCAAAAAUCCCCCAAACCCCCCAAAAAUCCCCCCAAAAUUC
Molecule: long non-coding RNA, 1005 nt
Filed under: Taeniopygia guttata (zebra finch)
Lineage: Eukaryota; Metazoa; Chordata; Aves; Passeriformes; Estrildidae
Description: lncRNA (ENSTGUG00000018899.1)
Source: RNAcentral